This is a long non-coding RNA of Centropristis striata (black sea bass), 1481 nucleotides long. RefSeq lists it as uncharacterized. The transcript has 3 exons. The record is from RefSeq and is a predicted model, not a curated record. NCBI's taxonomy places the organism in Eukaryota, Metazoa, Chordata, Actinopteri, Perciformes, Serranidae.
AUCUGCUGUCAGGAGGCUGACCUGGACCAUACCAUGCGUGGUGAAGCAUGUGUAACAAAUGUUCGCACAUUUGGAGUACUGUGCCGGGAAGAGGACGUGCUGUCGCUGAAGGAUGUCCGAGCUGAAGGAUGUCCGAGCGGAGACACCGGAGCGUCCUGUCAACAGCAGAUAAACACUGCUUCACCUAAGAGACUUGAGUAUCCAGUUCUUCAUUGACCUUCAGCAUUCAGUUGUUUGUCUUCACCUUUUCAGGUAAGCAAUUUAAAAAAAGUGCUUUUGUAAUGUUGAGAAACACUGAAAUUAUUAUUCAUAAAGAACUUUCAACCACUGUUCUGUGAUGUCACGUAUAGUGAUAUACAAAUAUAUCUGAAGGAAAGGUGUAUUUGGGAUAAUCAAUAUUAUUAGUAUUAUUCAUGUAUUUAUUCAUUUUUAAAUCAGAGAAUGGGGGAAAAUAGAUUAUUAGUACAAAAACUAGUAACUAGUAAAAAAAAAAUUGGUUACAAUAAUGUUCAUUCAUUAAUUGACGCUUGGUCAAACUCUCAUCUAAUUAAGUAUUGCUGUCUCAUUAAUGUAUUUAUUUAUUUUGUCGGCUAAAACCUGAGGAGCAGAAGAAGAAGAUUACUUUAUUAAUCCCACAAUGGGGAAAUUCAACCUCUGCAUUUAACCCAUCCUUUUUUACACACAAGUGAACACACCAUGCAAGGAGCAGUGGGCAGCACAUUACUGCGCCCGAAGCCAUCACCAUGUUGUUUUUUCACAUCAGAAUAAGUAUUUCACAUGAUGCAGAUUUUUCAGCAUGUGGUCCUCAAUAUAUAGUAUAGAAGUCACUGUAUUUUCUGACUUUUCCAGGUUUCCUGUGUCCAGCAUCUUCAAGACAGACUAAGCUAACUUUUCAUAUUUUUUGCACAUUUAUAUUAAGGUUAGGUUUAUAGUAGAGUAUUUAGUUUGUAUAGUUUAGCUUUUUAUGCUGGUCUAGGGACAGUUAAGUUAGCGAAUUAAUUUAGUUCAGAUCACUUACAGUUGCAUAUUAUUGUUACAAUUGUGUUAUUUUGUGAGUUAUUGUUGUACAGGCUAUUGUAUAUUGCAGGACCAAGUGAGACGAGGAAGACCACUGCUUCCAAGAUGCCGCGCUCAGAAAGUGCGUUGGACAAGUCUCGACCUUGCAGAUCCUGCCCCACUGAGCCCAACCACUUCCGACCAUGGGAUACCUCAAAGACCUCCGUCAACCAGCCGGCUGUUGAUGAUGGAUAACACACCCACAACUCCUUCUCCAGUCUACAAGACACCCCUACAGUCCAAGAACAGCUGGAUGACCUCUGGACCCACUUGCCCCCGUUCACCAGUUGAAAAGAUAGGCUUUUUAAAAAAUUCUUCAAUUGUUAAUUCUGUACAAAGUGAUACACAAAACAUUGUAUGUCUUCCAUUUCAACAAACACAAACAUGAAAUGUAUAUUUCAAUACAUAACUUAAUGCAAUUCAAU